GGUCAAGUUACUAAGGGUGCAUGGGGGAUGUCUAGGUGCCGAGAGGCGAUGAAGGACGUGGCUGGCUGCGAUAAGCUCGGGUUAGGUGUCAAGCAACCGUUAACCCCGAGAUUUCUGAAUGGGAUUACCCGGCAGGACAGGGCAACCUGAUCUUGUCAUCCAUGGCUGAAUGCAUAGGCCAUGUGAGGCUAACGCAGGGAACUGAAACAUCUAAGUACCUGCAGGAAAGAAAAUCAACCGAGACUUCGUUAGUAGCGGCGAGCGAAAGCGAAACAGCCCAAACCGGAGAGCUUGCUCUUCGGGGUUGUGGGCACUGAUAAGGAGUUACAAAGGCAACACCAGUAGAACGGUCUGGAAAGUCCGACCACAGAAGGUGAAAGUCCUGUACACGAAAGUGUUUGCCCUCCGUUAUUAUCAGUGUUCCAGAGUAGCACGGGACUCGUGAAACCCUGUGUGAAACUGGGGGGACCACCCUCCAAGGCUAAGUACUACUCGGCAACCGAUAGUGAAAAGUAGGGCGACCGAACGAUGAAAAGCACCCCUAUUAGGGGAGUUAAAAGUACCUGAAACCAUGCACUUACAAGCUGUAGGAGCUCUAUGGUCGGUCUUCGGACCGACAAUGGGUGACUGCGUGCCUUUCGCAUAAUGAGCCGGCGAGUUACCGUUUGUGGCAAGGUUAAGCAUUUAAGAUGCGGAGCCGUAGCGAAAGCGAGUCUAAAUAGGGCGAUUAAGUCGCAGGUGGUAGACGCGAAACCAGGUGAUCAACCCAUGGCCAGGAUGAAGGGGAUGUAAUAAUCCCUGGAAGACCGAACCCACUAACGUUGAAAAGUUAGGGGAUGAGCUGUGGGGAGGAGUAAAAGUCUAAUCAAACCUGGAGAUAUCUCGUUCUCUCCGAAAUAGCUUUAGGGCUAGCCUCAGGUUACUACUUUACGGGGGUAGAGCUACUGAUUGGGGAUAGGGGGCCACCAGCCUACCUACCCUUACCAAACUCCGAAUACCGUAAAGACUAUCCUGGGAGUCAGACCGCGGGUGAUAACAUUCGCGGUCAAGAGGGAAACAACCCAGAUCGCCAGUUAAGGUCCCAAAUUUAUGCUGAGUUACUAAGGAAGUCAAAUUGCUGUGACAAUCGGGAUGUUGGCUUAGAAGCAGCCACCAUUUAAAAAGUGCGUAAUAGCUUACCGAUCGAGCAAUUUGGUGCCUAUAAUGAACGGGAAUAAGCAUAAAACCGAAACUGCGGAUAUCCGGUUUUACCGGAUGUGGUAGGAGAGCGUAGCUGUCAGCGUAGAAGCGGUACGGAAACGAGCCGUGGAGCGUCAGCUAGUGAUUAUGCCGGCAUGAGUAACGAUAAAACAGGUGAGAAUCCUGUUCGCCGAAAGCCUAAGGUUUCCUGGGGAAGGGAAAUCCGCCCAGGGUUAGUCGGUCCCUUAGUCGAGACCGAAAGGUGUAGACGAUGGACAGCAGGUUAAUAUUCCUGCACCACGUUGUUGGACGAAAGUAGUGACGCAUUUCUCAAGGUGAUCCCGUGACUAGUCGUGCGGGUUCCGCAAGGUCGAGGCCAAUUAUGAUGCCGAAGUCGCCAGCAGAAGUGCCGAGAAAUAGCUGCUGUAGGUUGAAUUCAGCGUGACCGUACUAAAACUGACACAGGUAGGCGAGGAGAAUAUCCUAAGGCGCUCGAGAGAACCGUCCUUAAGGAACUCGGCAAAUUGACCCCGUAAGUUCGCGAUAAGGGGUCCCUCCAGAGCCAUUUAUUCUAUAGAUGGCUGCUGAGGGCGCAGUGAAGUGGCUCCGGCGACUGUUUACCAAAAACACAGUUCUCUGCUAACACGAAAAGUGGAUGUAUAGAGAAUGACGCCUGCUCGGUGCCGGAAGGUUAAGGGGAUGGGUUAGCACUUCGGUGCGAAGCUCCUAACUGAAGCCCCGGUAAACGGCGGCCGUAACUAUGACGGUCCUAAGGUAGCGAAGUUCCUUGUCGGGUAAGUUCCGACGUGCAUGAACGGCGUAACGACUGGAGCACUGUCUCAAGGACGGACUCGGUGAAAUUGCAAUUGUGGUGAAGAUGCCACAUACCCGCGGCAAGACGGAAAGACCCCGUGAACCUUUACUGUAGCCUGGUAUUGAUGCCUGGCUCAUCAUGCGUAGGAUAGGUGGGAGGCUGUGAACUGGCGUUUUCGGACGUCAGGGAGCCAUCCUUGAAAUACCACCCUUGGUGUGUUAGUCACCUAACUGUAACCCUUGAAUCAGGGUAUGGGACAGUGCUAGGUGGGCAGUUUGACUGGGGCGGUCUCCUCCCAAAAGGUAACGGAGGAGUUCAAAGGUACCCUCAGCAUGGUUGGCAAUCAUGCAAAGAGUGCAAAGGCAUAAGGGUGCUUAACUGUGAGACUUAUCGGUCAAGCAGAUACGAAAGUAGGACUUAGUGAUCCGGUGGUCCCGAGUGGAAGGGCCAUCGCUCAUCAGAUAAAAGGUACUCCGGGGAUAACAGGCUUAUCGCCUCCGAGCGUUCAUAGCGGCGAGGCGGUUUGGCACCUCGAUGUCGGCUCAUCACAUCCUGGGGCUGUAGGAGGUCCCAAGGGUUCGGCUGUUCGCCGAUUAAAGUGGUACGCGAGCUGGGUUCAGACCGACGUGAGUCAGGUCGGUCCCUAUCUGCCGUGGGCGCAGGAAUCUUGAGGGGAUGUUUCCUUAGUACGAGAGGAUUGGGAAGCACUGACCUCUGGUGUAUCGGUUGUGCUGCUAAGUGCACCGCCGAGUAGCUAAGUCGGGAAAGGAUAACCGCUGAAAGCAUCUAAGCGGGAAGCCCACCCUAAGAUAAGGAUUCCAUGGACUUCGGUCCUGAAGACCCCAGAUAGACGAUCUGGUUGAUAGGCCGGGUGUGUAAGCGUCGAAAUACGUUAAGCUAACCGGUACUAACGGUCAAGCACUUGACCAU
Ribosomal RNA from Phycisphaerae bacterium, 2923 nucleotides. It matches the Rfam family "Bacterial large subunit ribosomal RNA". Lineage: Bacteria; Pseudomonadati; Planctomycetota; Phycisphaerae. The record is from Rfam.